RNAcentral lists this long non-coding RNA (5205 nucleotides) under Nicotiana tabacum (common tobacco). Its description in RNAcentral is "long non-coding RNA (NTAB_LNC009441)". The record is from RNAcentral. Lineage: Eukaryota; Viridiplantae; Streptophyta; Magnoliopsida; Solanales; Solanaceae.
UCGAUAGUCUCCUAAAUCCUGAUGCCUGGAUCAACGAUUGCCACUGGGACCAAAAGUGCCUGAAUCUGCAUACAAGGUGUAGAGGUUAACAUAAGUACGCCAACUCAGUAAGUAACGAAUCCAAACUAUAGACUGAAAGGUAGUGACGAACUCAACCGCAACAGAAAUAAUAGAAAUAUAUGUGCAAAAACGUAGGCAUGCUUUCAAUUUUAUAGACAGCUGAAACAAUAAGAUAGAGCAGAUACGAACAAGAUAGAGAAUAUAACUCUGCUACAUCUACAUGCCAAUGCACAUGAUGUAUGUGAUGCACCAUGCUGAAUAUUUCAUGUUCUCAAACUCUCAAAUACUUAUCCACUUAGUACUGUAUAUGGCUCAUACGGCUCAGGGAAGACCUAUCCCGGAUUAUAUACAUCUUUGACAACAGUCAAUCAAUACUAAGGAAGACCAAUCCAGCCCUAUGGAGAAGAUCCAUCUCCAGGUAAUAAUAAUAUCCUCACAACCACUCGGUACCGUAUAUGGCACACACGGCCCAGGGAAGAUCCAUCCCGGAAUAUAUACAUCAUAGACCAUCAAUCUCCAGUACCAAGGACAUAGGCCAAUCCGUCCUCAUGGAGAAGAUCCAUCUCCAAUAUUAAUAUUAAUUGCGCUCACUGAAGUGUGUACAGACUUCGGAGGGGCUCCUUGAACCCAACCAUUAUCACAAAUCAAUAUAACCGCUGCGGCGUGCAACCCGAUCCCAUAACUGUCACAGAUAAUUAGGCUCUCAACCUCACUAAGUCAUCACUCUCCAGUCUCACCCACGGGCUCACAAUGCCAUAAAAACUAGCCCGGAACAAUGAUAUGAUGUGCCAAUAAAUAACAACUGAGACUGAGAUAUGAUAUGAAAUGCAUGAAUAUGAUUGAGUGCAAAAUAUCAAUGAAUCGGUGAUAUGAUAGAAAGAAAUGACCAAUAGGGGUCCCAACAGUAUCGGCGUACAACCCUAACAUGAUAUCUAGCAUGAUUUACAACUCAUUUACUUUAUCGCAUAAUGGAAACACGGAUAUCAACAAGAAAGAGUCACUAAAUAGUGCCAUGGAAUGAACCAGGUCACGAUUCUCAUGGUGCACGCUCGCACACCCAUCAGUUGGCAUGUGCGUCACCUCAAUACUAACCAUAUAACACGUGGUUCGGGGUUAAUAACCCUCAGAAUCAAGUUUGAAAGCUUUACUUACCUCAAAUCAAGCAAAAUUCCUACUCCACAAUGCCUUUGCCUCUCAAAUCGGCCUCCAAGCAUCCCGAAUCUAGCUACAAGCAACACAAUACGUUCAAUAUAGGCUAAAGGAACAAUUUCCUCAAGAAAAAUACUAAAUUAUAACCGAAAUUCGAAAUCGGCUCAAAUCCGGCCCCUGUGCCCACGUCUUGAAAUCUGACAAAAGUCACAAAACCCGAAAUCCCAUUCAUUCAUGAGUCUAAUCAUAUUAAAUUCAUCAAAAUCCGAUAUCAUUUGCCCUUCCAAAAUCCCACAAUUCACUAUCCAAAUUCCCAAACACUAACUCCCAAUUUCACUUCAAAACCUCACUAAUUAAGUGGGAAAUCCACAAAAAAACACCAUUGCUAAGGGUAGUUAGGGUCAAGAAACUUACCUCGGUGAUAAACCUCGAAUCCCCUUCAAAAAUCUCUUCAAAAUCUCCAAAGUCCGUGUUCAAAAAUGUGAAAAUAAGAAGAAUUCCCGAAGUUCUCUAUUUAUAUUUUCUGCCCAGCAAAACUGCACCUGCGGUACAAAUUACGCAUCUGUGGGUACGCAUCUGCGGAUGAAGCUCCGCUUUUAUGGAAAAACACUUAAAGCACUGCGAUCGCUUCUACGACUAAAGACCGCAUCUGCAAUCAUCGCGGGUGCGGAAACUACCUCGCACUGCAGCUCCAUCUCGCAGCUGCGCCUAGCUGCUCGCAUCUACGACUCUCGCAGAUGCGGGAAUAUCUUCGCACCUGCGGACUUUUCCCAACUCCUUCUUGGGUGCAUCUGCGGUUCUUCAAUCGCUCCUGCGGGUUCCCCACCGCAGGUGCGGAAACACCAGAUGCAGCAGCUUCAGCUGCAUUUCUUCAACUCCAAACCUUCCGUUAACCAUCGAAAAUCACCACGAGGCCCUCGGGACCUCAACCAAACAUACCAACGUGUCUCAUAACAUCAUACGGACUUAGUCGAACUUUCGAAUCACUCAAAACAACAUCGAAACGCCAAAUUACACUCGGAUUCAAGCCUAAAAACCUCUAAACUUUCGAAUUCCACAAACGAUGCCGAAACCCAACCAAACACGUCGGAAUGACCUCAAAUCUUGCAAGUCAGAAAUGACACCAGGAACCUACUCCAACUUCUGGAAAUCCAAUCCGACCCCGAUAUCAAAAUUUUCACUACCGACCAAAAUCACCAAAAUUCCAACUUUCACCAAUUCAAGCCUAAUUCUAUUACGGACCUCCAAAUCACAUUCCUGACGUGAUCCUAAGUUAAAAAUCACCUAACGGAGCUAACGAAACCAUCAAAAUUCAAAUCUGAGGUCGUUUAGACAUAAGUCAACAUCCGGUCAACUUCCCAGCUUAAACCCCUCAUAAAAGACUAAGUGUCUCAACUCACUCCGGACCCGAACCAACUAACCCGGUAAGUCAAAAUACAGCUUCAGAACACAAAAGAAGCAGAAAAUAGAGGAACGAGGCUGUAACUCUAGAAACGACCGGCCGGGUCAUUACAUUUUAAUUCUAGCACUUAAUGAUAAAAGUCUAUAAAAAGAAAAGAUAGAAUUUGUACUCCUUUAAAAAUAUUUGUUUCUAUAUUUUCAGGUCCACUUCUAAUGACACAUAUUUUUCCUUACAUUAUAAAAAGAUAUGUCAUCUUAUUUAAUAUUAUUAACUAAUGAAUUAUCAAUGAAGAAAAAUUAAUGCAAUUGUUUUUGUUAUUCACAAGUUGAUCAGGUUUAAAUAUAUUUUCAACUUUUUCCCUCCUUAAAUUUAACGUUAAGAAAUUACCAAAAUGUUCCCUAUAAGUUCAUGUGCUACAAAUAAGCCUACUUAUCAUAUGCUAAAAAUAUUUUAUUAUAAAUUUUAAAUUAGAAUAUGAGGAAUAAACAACACACAAACACAAAGAAAAAGCAAAUUGAUGAAAUAUUGGUUAUAUUUUUACUCUUUUUUUCUUUGAUGUUUAAUUCGAACAAAUUAAAUUUAAAAUUAGAUGGUUAACUCGGAAAUGCAAUAAUUUUUAUUGAAUAAAGAUGCAUAUGAAAUUCUUAUUUUUGAAUAUAUUAUUUAAAUGAAUAUGAAUGGUUUUACAAAACAAUUGGAGUAAUACAGUUAAGGAAAUAUUUUUGUAAUUAGGUGGUGGGCCCAUGCUCAGCAUGGACCAUCCCUCGUCUAGUUAACUUAAUAGAAGGGAGGAAUAUGGAGAAAAGUCCUUCCUGCAUUGCUUCUUGAUAGUAGCCUUCCAGGAUUAGAAUCGGCUCCCUUCUGUUAAUUAUUUGAUAGACUUAGAUUUUCUUUUUAUCUCAACACUUUUUCUUAUUACACCAUCACUUUUUUCAUGCACACUACAAUACUUUCCUAUACACAAUCACUUUCUUGCUAAUUUAUAAUCACAAAUAUGACAAUAAAUAAUACACUUUAAUAAUAUGAUUUUAAUAUUAAUUGCAUAUACUCCAACAUUACUUGAAAAAAGGUUUAACAUUUGUCAAUGAAAAUUAAUAUUUCAGUUGAAAUGCUGCUCAAAUAAGUUUAUAAUAGUUAUCCGUAUUUUAAGUGAAGUUAAGCAUUGGCUAAAUAAAUACCUGCAAAUAUUAAACUUUAUCACUUACAAAUAUUCUAUCGUGAUUUUAUAAGAGCAUUUGAGUACCUUCUGGAUAAGAUGGUUGAGCUUGCCUUUAUGAGAAGGACAAACGAGGUUCCAAUCAAAAUUAUAAUAUUGGACAAAGCAGUUCGCAUUUAUUUGGUCCCUGUUUAGCUGUUUUUCUACGUCUAACACAUGGCAAAGCCUUUUCCAUGUGCAACUUUGAUCUACUGGCGUGUAUGUGAAUAGUUCACGAUUUGUAUUUUAUGUGGUAAUAGUUAUGAUCGAAUACUUUGUUUUCAAAUAACUAUGUGAUUUCUAUGGUAUAUUUAUGACUAGUUGAGCCUGUCCGAGCACUCGGGCCCCACAAUUCUAAUUAUAAUAUUCAUUCACUAUAAGUACUCAAAUAUCUUUUAUUCCUCUUAAUAAAAAGGAAAUUCUUCAACCUAGAAGUUUAGAUAUUAUGUGACAAAUUCUUUCCUACCUAUUAUGAUUCAUAGUAUUUUCGAAUUCUUUAAAAAAAAUGAAAUUUAUGAAAUGAAAAAUUAAGAAACAAUUGACGUCUACACAUAAUAACAACAAUAACCAAGACUGAACUUCUUGCCAGAAUAAAUUUGAAAACAAUAUUACAAAUCCUCAAUAUAGAAGUCAAAAAUUUGAAAACAAUAUUGCAAAUCCUUAAUAUUUAACCGCGUGUUACCAGAAGUUAAGCAAACAUUGAAAUAGUGAAGACCCAUAUCCUAGAUAUGAAAUGGUGAAAUAGUGAACCCUCUUUCUGCUCUUCACUCUUUCAGUGAAGCUCUUUGUUUUGGUGAUUUUUUCCUGCAAUCUCUCUUUGUUUGUAGAUUUUGGCAGCUUCUAGAUAUAGCUCUGCUAAAAUCUGUGAGAUCUGCCAUUGUUGAACGAGCUACAAGCUCAAUUCUCUUCCUGUGAAAUACAGAGCAUAUGAACGAGAGGGUGAAGAAGAGGAGAAAAUAUCUGAAAAUGUUAACUUGCUCUAUUCAUUUACAAUGUAAUGUGUAUAUAUACAGGUUUUACUCUACUAAGCUGGAAUCAUUAAUUUACGGUUGUCACACUAGCUAACUAAGCUCCACUCACUAACUAUAACGACCUUAUCUAACUAAUGGAAAUGAACUAACUACUUCUUAACAGUAACACCUUGUAAUAAGCUCCAAUACUACCUUUGUUAUAAACAAAUUUACCGAUAUAUACCGGACCACUUUUUUUGUAAGUGUGUGUGAGCCAUUAAAUUUAUAAUUGCGGUAUACCAGAUAAUCAUGUGAUAAGCAUAAAUUUAGACGUACAGAGCACUAUAAAUUUUUUUUAAAAAUCUAAUGGUGAACUUUGCUUCUACUGAUGCCAAUUCAUCACAAAUACACUACCAACAGUGUAGGAGACAAUAUUGGUAAAGGUCAUC